RNAcentral lists this transfer RNA (74 nucleotides) under Ixodes scapularis (black-legged tick). It matches the Rfam family "tRNA". Rfam says of the family: Transfer RNA (tRNA) molecules are approximately 80 nucleotides in length. Their secondary structure includes four short double-helical elements and three loops (D, anti-codon, and T loops). Further hydrogen bonds mediate the characteristic L-shaped molecular structure. tRNAs have two regions of fundamental functional importance: the anti-codon, which is responsible for specific mRNA codon recognition, and the 3' end, to which the tRNAs corresponding amino acid is attached (by aminoacyl-tRNA synthetases). tRNAs cope with the degeneracy of the genetic code in two manners: having more than one tRNA (with a specific anti-codon) for a particular amino acid; and 'wobble' base-pairing, i.e. permitting non-standard base-pairing at the 3rd anti-codon position. Lineage: Eukaryota; Metazoa; Arthropoda; Arachnida; Ixodida; Ixodidae. The record is from Rfam by way of RNAcentral.
GCCGGGAUGGCCUAAUCGGUUAAGGCGUCGCCCCGGACAGGCGAAGGUUGCGGGUUUGAUCCCCGCUCCUGGCC